GGGUUGUGAGGUUAAGCGACUAAGCGUACACGGUGGAUGCCCUGGCAGUCAGAGGCGAUGAAGGACGUGCUAAUCUGCGAAAAGCGCCGGCGAGGUGAUAUGAACCUUUGACCCGGCGAUGUCCGAAUGGGGAAACCCAGUGCAAUCCGUUGCACUAUCGUUAACUGAAUACAUAGGUUAACGAGGCGAACCGGGGGAACUGAAACAUCUAAGUACCCCGAGGAAAAGAAAUCAACCGAGAUUCCCCCAGUAGCGGCGAGCGAACGGGGAGCAGCCCGGAGUCUGAAUCAGCUUGUGUGUUAGUGGAACGGUCUGGAAAGUCCGACGGUACAGGGUGAUAGUCCCGUACACGAAAGCACACUUGCUGUGAACUCGAAGAGUAGGGCGGGACACGUGGUAUCCUGUCUGAAUAUGGGGGGACCAUCCUCCAAGGCUAAAUACUCCUGACUGACCGAUAGUGAACCAGUACCGUGAGGGAAAGGCGAAAAGAACCCCGGCGAGGGGAGUGAAAAAGAACCUGAAACCGUGUACGUACAAGCAGUGGGAGCCUCUUUAUGGGGUGACUGCGUACCUUUUGUAUAAUGGGUCAGCGACUUAUAUUCUGUAGCAAGGUUAACCGUAUAGGGGAGCCGAAGGGAAACCGAGUCUUAACUGGGCGUUAAGUUGCAGGGUAUAGACCCGAAACCCGGUGAUCUAGCCAUGGGCAGGUUGAAGGUUGGGUAACACUAACUGGAGGACCGAACCGACUAAUGUUGAAAAAUUAGCGGAUGACCUGUGGCUGGGGGUGAAAGGCCAAUCAAACCGGGAGAUAGCUGGUUCUCCCCGAAAGCUAUUUAGGUAGCGCCUCGUGAACUCAUCUUCGGGGGUAGAGCACUGUUUCGGCUAGGGGGCCAUCCCGGCUUACCAACCCGAUGCAAACUACGAAUACCGAAGAAUGUUAUCACGGGAGACACACGGCGGGUGCUAACGUCCGUCGUGAAGAGGGAAACAACCCAGACCGCCAGCUAAGGUCCCAAAGUCAUGGUUAAGUGGGAAACGAUGUGGGAAGGCACAGACAGCCAGGAUGUUGGCUUAGAAGCAGCCAUCAUUUAAAGAAAGCGUAAUAGCUCACUGGUCGAGUCGGCCUGCGCGGAAGAUGUAACGGGGCUAAACCAUGCACCGAAGCUGCGGCAGCGACGCUUAGGCGUUGUUGGGUAGGGGAGCGUUCUGUAAGCCGUCGAAGGUGUCCUGUGAGGCAUGCUGGAGGUAUCAGAAGUGCGAAUGCUGACAUAAGUAACGAUAAAGCGGGUGAAAAGCCCGCUCGCCGGAAGACCAAGGGUUCCUGUCCAACGUUAAUCGGGGCAGGGUGAGUCGACCCCUAAGGCGAGGCCGAAAGGCGUAGUCGAUGGGAAACAGGUUAAUAUUCCUGUACUUGGUGUUACUGCGAAGGGGGGACGGAGAAGGCUAUGUCAGCCGGGCGACGGUUGUCCCGGUUUAAGCAUGUAGGCGGAGGUUCCAGGUAAAUCCGGUACCUUGUUAACGCUGAGGUGUGAUGACGAGGCACUACGGUGCUGAAGUGAUAAAUGCCCUGCUUCCAGGAAAAGCCUCUAAGCAUCAGGUAACACGAAAUCGUACCCCAAACCGACACAGGUGGUCAGGUAGAGAAUACCAAGGCGCUUGAGAGAACUCGGGUGAAGGAACUAGGCAAAAUGGUGCCGUAACUUCGGGAGAAGGCACGCUGAUGUGUAGGUGAAGCCCCUGCGGGCGGAGCUGAAAUCAGUCGAAGAUACCAGCUGGCUGCAACUGUUUAUUAAAAACACAGCACUGUGCAAACACGAAAGUGGACGUAUACGGUGUGACGCCUGCCCGGUGCCGGAAGGUUAAUUGAUGGGGUUAGCGGCAACGCGAAGCUCUUGAUCGAAGCCCCGGUAAACGGCGGCCGUAACUAUAACGGUCCUAAGGUAGCGAAAUUCCUUGUCGGGUAAGUUCCGACCUGCACGAAUGGCGUAAUGAUGGCCAGGCUGUCUCCACCCGAGACUCAGUGAAAUUGAACUCGCUGUGAAGAUGCAGUGUACCCGCGGCAAGACGGAAAGACCCCGUGAACCUUUACUAUAGCUUGACACUGAACACUGGUCCUUGAUGUGUAGGAUAGGUGGGAGGCUUUGAAGCGUGGACGCCAGUCUGCGUGGAGCCAACCUUGAAAUACCACCCUUUAAUGGCUGGUGUUCUAACGUAGACCCGUAAUCCGGGUUGCGGACAGUGUCUGGUGGGUAGUUUGACUGGGGCGGUCUCCUCCCAAAGAGUAACGGAGGAGCACGAAGGUUGGCUAAUCCUGGUCGGACAUCAGGAGGUUAGUGCAAUGGCAUAAGCCAGCUUGACUGCGAGCGUGACGGCGCGAGCAGGUGCGAAAGCAGGUCAUAGUGAUCCGGUGGUUCUGAAUGGAAGGGCCAUCGCUCAACGGAUAAAAGGUACUCCGGGGAUAACAGGCUGAUACCGCCCAAGAGUUCAUAUCGACGGCGGUGUUUGGCACCUCGAUGUCGGCUCAUCACAUCCUGGGGCUGAAGUAGGUCCCAAGGGUAUGGCUGUUCGCCAUUUAAAGUGGUACGCGAGCUGGGUUUAGAACGUCGUGAGACAGUUCGGUCCCUAUCUGCCGUGGGCGCUGGAGAAUUGAGGGGGGCUGCUCCUAGUACGAGAGGACCGGAGUGGACGCAUCACUGGUGUUCGGGUUGUCAUGCCAAUGGCACUGCCCGGUAGCUAAAUGCGGAAGAGAUAAGUGCUGAAAGCAUCUAAGCACGAAACUUGCCCCGAGAUGAGUUCUCCCUGAGACUUUAAGUCUCCUGAAGGAACGUUGAAGACGACGACGUUGAUAGGUCGGGUGUGUAAGCGCAGCGAUGCGUUGAGCUAACCGAUACUAAUGAACCGUGAGGCUUAACCUUACAACGCCGAAGCUGUU
RNAcentral lists this ribosomal RNA (2932 nucleotides) under Enterobacter hormaechei. RNAcentral describes it as "23S ribosomal RNA". It matches the Rfam family "Bacterial large subunit ribosomal RNA". Lineage: Bacteria; Pseudomonadati; Pseudomonadota; Gammaproteobacteria; Enterobacterales; Enterobacteriaceae. The record is from RNAcentral.